Molecule: ribosomal RNA, 958 nt
Filed under: Acrogenospora aquatica
Lineage: Eukaryota; Fungi; Ascomycota; Dothideomycetes; Minutisphaerales; Acrogenosporaceae
Description: SSU rRNA
Rfam family: Eukaryotic small subunit ribosomal RNA
Source: RNAcentral
UGGCUCAUUAAAUCAGUUAUCGUUUAUUUGAUAGUACCUUACUACAUGGAUAACCGUGGUAAUUCUAGAGCUAAUACAUGCUAAAAACCCCAACUUCGGGAGGGGUGUAUUUAUUAAAUAAAAAACCAAUGCCCUCCGGGGCUCUUUGGUGAUUCAUAGUAACUUAACGGAUCGCAUGGCCUUGCGCUGGCGACGGUUCAUUCAAAUUUCUGCCCUAUCAACUUUCGAUGGUAAGGUAUUGGCUUACCAUGGUUUCAACGGGUAACGGGGAAUUAGGGUUCGAUUCCGGAGAGGGAGCCUGAGAAACGGCUACCACAUCCAAGGAAGGCAGCAGGCGCGCAAAUUACCCAAUCCCGACACGGGGAGGUAGUGACAAUAAAUACUGAUACAGGGCUCUUUUGGGUCUUGUAAUCGGAAUGAGUACAAUUUAAACCCCUUAACGAGGAACAAUUGGAGGGCAAGUCUGGUGCCAGCAGCCGCGGUAAUUCCAGCUCCAAUAGCGUAUAUUAAAGUUGUUGCAGUUAAAAAGCUCGUAGUUGAACCUUGGGCCUGGCUGGCCGGUCCGCCUCACCGCGUGUACUGGUCCGGCUGGGCCUUUCCUUCUGGAGAACCCCAUGCCCUUUACUGGGUGUGCGGGGGAACCAGGACUUUUACUGUGAAAAAAUUAGAGUGUUCAAAGCAGGCCUUUGCUCGAAUACGUUAGCAUGGAAUAAUAGAAUAGGACGUGCGGUUCUAUUUUGUUGGUUUCUAGGACCGCCGUAAUGAUUAAUAGGGAUAGUCGGGGGCAUCAGUAUUCAAUUGUCAGAGGUGAAAUUCUUGGAUUUAUUGAAGACUAACUACUGCGAAAGCAUUUGCCAAGGAUGUUUUCAUUAAUCAGUGAACGAAAGUUAGGGGAUCGAAGACGAUCAGAUACCGUCGUAGUCUUAACCAUAAACUAUGCCGACUAGGGAUCGGGCGA